RNAcentral lists this ribosomal RNA (463 nucleotides) under Vreelandella stevensii. RNAcentral describes it as "partial 16S ribosomal RNA". It matches the Rfam family "Bacterial small subunit ribosomal RNA", at positions 340 to 795 of the family's 1533-position model. The record is from RNAcentral. Lineage: Bacteria; Pseudomonadati; Pseudomonadota; Gammaproteobacteria; Oceanospirillales; Halomonadaceae.
CUCGGGUGGCUGCAGUGGGGAAUAUUGGACAAUGGGCGAAAGCCUGAUCCAGCCAUGCCGCGUGUGUGAAGAAGGCCUUCGGGUUGUAAAGCACUUUCAGUGGGGAAGAAAGCCUUGGGGCUAAUACCCUCGAGGAAGGACAUCACCCACAGAAGAAGCACCGGCUAACUCCGUGCCAGCAGCCGCGGUAAUACGGAGGGUGCGAGCGUUAAUCGGAAUUACUGGGCGUAAAGCGCGCGUAGGCGGUCUGAUAAGCCGGUUGUGAAAGCCCCGGGCUCAACCUGGGAACGGCAUCCGGAACUGUCAGGCUAGAGUGCAGGAGAGGAAGGUAGAAUUCCCGGUGUAGCGGUGAAAUGCGUAGAGAUCGGGAGGAAUACCAGUGGCGAAGGCGGCCUUCUGGACUGACACUGACGCUGAGGUGCGAAAGCGUGGGUAGCAAACAGGAUUAGAUACCCUGGUAGUC